GAUAGGUCGGUGGUUGAGUGUCUGCCUUGCAAGCAGAAUGUCCUGAGUUAAAUUCCUGGCAUCUCCA
Podarcis lilfordi (Lilford's wall lizard) is the source of this 67-nucleotide non-coding RNA. NCBI's taxonomy places the organism in Eukaryota, Metazoa, Chordata, Lepidosauria, Squamata, Lacertidae. The record is from the annotation of a GenBank genome assembly.